This is a small nuclear RNA of Suncus etruscus (white-toothed pygmy shrew), 104 nucleotides long. The record is from RefSeq and is a predicted model, not a curated record. NCBI's taxonomy places the organism in Eukaryota, Metazoa, Chordata, Mammalia, Eulipotyphla, Soricidae.
GUUAAGAUUUUAGGGAAUACUAAAAUUGAAGUGGUACAGGAGAAGGAUUUGCAUUGCCCCUGUAUUAGGAUGACAUGUAAAUUUGUGAAGUGUUCCAAUUAUUU